Molecule: ribosomal RNA, 490 nt
Filed under: uncultured bacterium
Lineage: Bacteria
Description: partial 16S ribosomal RNA
Rfam family: Bacterial small subunit ribosomal RNA
Source: RNAcentral
AGUGAACGCUGGCGGUAGGCCUAACACAUGCAAGUCGAACGGCAGCACAGGAGAGCUUGCUCUCUGGGUGGCGAGUGGCGGACGGGUGAGGAAUACAUCGGAAUCUGCCCAGUCGUGGGGGAUAACGUAGGGAAACUUACGCUAAUACCGCAUACGACCUUCGGGUGAAAGAGGGGGAUCGCAAGACCUCUCGCGAUUGGAUGAGCCGAUGUCGGAUUAGCUAGUUGGCGGGGUAAUGGCCCACCAAGGCGACGAUCCGUAGCUGGUCUGAGGGGAUGAUCAGCCACACUGGAACUGAGACACGGUCCAGACUCCUACGGGAGGCAGCAGUGGGGAAUAUUGGACAAUGGGCGCAAGCCUGAUCCAGCCAUACCGCGUGGGUGAAGAAGGCCUUCGGGUUGUAAAGCCCUUUUGUUGGGAAAGAAAUCUUUCAGGCUAAUACCCUGGGAGGAUGACGGUACCCAAAGAAUAAGCACCGGCUAACUUCGUG